Long non-coding RNA from Carya illinoinensis, 1048 nucleotides. RefSeq lists it as uncharacterized. The transcript has 3 exons. NCBI's taxonomy places the organism in Eukaryota, Viridiplantae, Streptophyta, Magnoliopsida, Fagales, Juglandaceae. The record is from RefSeq and is a predicted model, not a curated record.
UUAAAAAAUCAUCCUUUUUGGAAUAUCAUCAUCUCUCUCCGUCGACUUCCUGGAAAGCAACAUAUCUCGAAUCUUUGAACCCAUCUCAUCCUCGCCUCUACUCUGCGAAAGGUCGGAGAUUGGUGAGAAAGAUCAUCGAGGCUAUGGGUUGUAUCGGGAAUAGAACUUACCCGAACGAUGCGCUCAUGAAGGCCUCUAAAGUACUUGAACAUUGACGGGAGGGGAACCCCAUAGCCAGCAUUAUGCUUCUAUCCAACGGACACGAUGAACGGUCAAGGAGACAGAGAAACUGUUCCAGAUGGAAGCAAUGUUGAUAAUGGGCUGGACAGGACUCAUUCUAAGAAAAAUUCCGAGAGGAAGUUGCAUUUUCGGUGGAUCCUCUAUAUCAUCAGACAUCUACGAAAUUUGAUGAAGGUGGAGCCAAGGGUCUCUACAGUCCUACUGUUAUUCUUUUAAAGUGCCGGGAAAGUGCAAAUCAUUUUCAUCCCCAAAUGAAAUGGUUGUAACGUGAUUUAGCCAGUAAUUGGGUAUGGUUUACCGAGGGUGACUAAGGUACUGACAAAAGCAGAUCUAACUUGCUUUUAUGCUUUAUAGGUGCGUAGGCAAAUCAAGAAUAAUUACUCAUAAAGAAAAAGACAAAUUAUGAAUAAAAGAUUUUUAUUGAUUAGUUUCAACAGAUUGCCUCAGAUAGUUUUCAAACACUCCAUUCAUUUUCAACCCCUUUGAAAAUUGAAGCCUGAUAUGGUUGUUGAUUUGCUACAAACCAGUUUAAUAUGUACACCUUAUAAACCAGCAAACCGUUUAACACUUUAACAAGUUUCAAUCCGUUUAUUUGCAAAGAGUGAAGAGGUCCAAUUAUUCUGGAAAUUUUUUUUCUUCAAGUGGAAUAUUGUCAAACGCAUUUUACUUCUUAUUAUUUAUUCUAUAAUAUUUCAAAUAUUUUUUGUUUUACUUAUAAAAUUGGUAGGUUGCAAGAACUGAUAUUUAAUUAUAUUUGUCGACAUAUACUGAACAAUAUAUGCAAUAAAUUGGUACCGUCUUAUACUUA